GAUGAACGCUGGCGGCGUGCCUAACACAUGCAAGUCGAGCGAUGAAAUUUUCUUCGGGAAAUGGAUUAGCGGCGGACGGGUGAGUAACACGUGGGUAACCUGCCUCAUAGUGGGGGAUAGCCUUCCGAAAGGGAGAUUAAUACCGCAUAAACAUCAUUAGAUGGCAUCAUUUUAGUGAUCAAAAGGAUUUUAUUCGCUAUGAGAUGGGACCCCGCGUCGCAUUAGCUAGUUGGUAGGGUAAUGGCUUACCAAGGCGACGAUGCGUAGCCGACCUGAGAGGGUGAUCGGCCACAUUGGGACUGAGACACGGCCCAGACACCUACGGGUGGCUG
This 332-nucleotide ribosomal RNA is filed under the name uncultured Bacillota bacterium. RNAcentral describes it as "bacterial SSU rRNA". It matches the Rfam family "Bacterial small subunit ribosomal RNA", at positions 28 to 351 of the family's 1533-position model. The record is from RNAcentral. Lineage: Bacteria; Bacillati; Bacillota.